GUUCUGGUCAGUGCUCUCUGGGUCUGUAGAGUGGGGGGUGUUCUGGUCAGUGUUCUCUGGGUCUGGACUGGUUGAAGCUCCCAGAUGAAGUCUUCCUGGCUCCAGAGGUCUGUAGAGUGGGGGGUGUUCUGGUCAGUGUUCUCUGGGUCUGGACUGGUUGAAGCUCCCAGAUGAAGUCUUCCUGGCUCCAGAGGUCUGUAGAGUGGGGGGUGUUCUGGUCAGUGCUCUCUGGGUCUGGACUGGUUGAAGCUCCCAGAUGAA
Oncorhynchus keta (chum salmon) is the source of this 261-nucleotide long non-coding RNA. RefSeq lists it as uncharacterized. The record is from RefSeq and is a predicted model, not a curated record. The transcript has 3 exons. NCBI's taxonomy places the organism in Eukaryota, Metazoa, Chordata, Actinopteri, Salmoniformes, Salmonidae.